ACGGGAGGCAGCAGUCGGGAAUAUUGCGCAAUGGAGGAAACUCUGACGCAGUGACGCCGCGUGCAGGAAGAAGGUUUUCGGAUUGUAAACUGCUUUAGACAGGGAAGAAACAAGACAGUACCUGUAGAAUAAGCUCCGGCUAACUACGUGCCAGCAGCCGCGGUAAUACGUAGGGAGCGAGCGUUAUCCGGAUUUAUUGGGUGUAAAGGGUGCGUAGACGGGAAAAUAAGUUAGUUAUGAAAUCCCUCGGCUCAACUGAGGAACUGCAACUAAAACUAUUUUUCUUGAGUGUUGGAGAGGAAAGCGGAAUUCCUAGUGUAGCGGUGAAAUGCGUAGAUAUUAGGAGGAACACCAGUGGCGAAGGCGGCUUUCUGGACAAUAACUGACGUUGAGGCACGAAAGUGUGGGGAGCAAACAGGAUUAGAUACCCUGGUA
RNAcentral lists this ribosomal RNA (435 nucleotides) under uncultured Oscillospiraceae bacterium. RNAcentral describes it as "bacterial SSU rRNA". It matches the Rfam family "Bacterial small subunit ribosomal RNA", at positions 341 to 792 of the family's 1533-position model. Lineage: Bacteria; Bacillati; Bacillota; Clostridia; Eubacteriales; Oscillospiraceae. The record is from RNAcentral.